Pogona vitticeps (central bearded dragon) is the source of this 1071-nucleotide non-coding RNA. NCBI's taxonomy places the organism in Eukaryota, Metazoa, Chordata, Lepidosauria, Squamata, Agamidae. The record is from RefSeq and is a predicted model, not a curated record.
CCUGCAUUGUGAAUGUGAGCCUGCGUUUCAAGCAAAACUAAACUGCUCCUACUAUCUGUUCAUCUGCAUCUUUUCCCACUCAGUGCUCUUGUGCUCUUCAUUAUAACCAGUGACUCAUGUCACUCAUCUCGUCUAUCUAGCUGGGAUUGUGACUUCCAUUAACAACUGCUUGAAAUCAAUGGUGGACUGACAAGUGAAUAAAUCAAAGACUGGGAAGAUAUAGUGGUGGUGAGGUGCUCAGUUGACAAGAAUAUCCUAGUCACCAUGGGGAAAAGGCUGGAAGAUUAAGGUUGCUGUAGUUGAAAAAGGAGGAAAGGAUGCCAAAACCUCAUGAAGAUAUACUUCGUUCCUGCUUUGGGAAAUGUUCAUAUUUUCAUCCGCCCAAGGUGCAGUUGUUAGAAAGGAAAGUUGAGCACAUUUUUUCCAUUUCACAGGAGUAACAAAGUAUUCAUCAUAAACAUUGGGCCAGGCUCUGGCUAUAAAGCACAGAGUUCAGCUGACAGAAUGCCUCAUAAACUUCCCCACGGCUGAGAUAUAGAAGGCUUUGAUUUAUUCCAAGUAUCUGAACUGACACAAGCAAGACCAUAUUGUAUAUUUUACACACUCUACCUCUGGAUUCUUUCAAUGACACAGGGACAAUCCUCAUCUCCACCCUCCAUUGCACCUCUAUUUGCUUUGGAGCUGCUAAGAUGUUUCUUUUCCCGUGCAAUAGCUGUGGUUCCACAUUCAUUCUCUGAGAUCGGUGAGUUUCAAUGCAGGGCCUUAUUUCUUCACAGGGAAACAUCAACACAAGCAAUUCUUCACCUGAAAACUGAUGCCAUAGAAUCAUUCACCUUUCUGACAUUUGACCUUGGAACCUGCUGGCUCGCCUUUGUGUCACUUUGACAAACUGACAAGGCUUGUAGUCCAAUAUAUCAGGUGACCUCCAGGCUGAGGAAAGCAGAACAACACGAGUCAAUCCAAUAUCCCUAAGUUUCUAAGGUUGCAAUCCUAUCUAUGAAUUGCACACCUACUGGGGAAUGUGCACCACAAAACACAAUCUGCAUAUAGGAUCAGGCAGUACACAUGUAU